GACAGAGGGUGCAAACGUUGCUCGGAAUCACUGGGCGUAAAGAGCGUGUAGGCGGUUCGGUAGGUCCGUUGUGAAAACUCGAGGCUCAACCUCGAGACGCCGAUGGAAACCCUCGAACUAGAGUCCGGAAGAGGAGAAUGGAAUUCCUGGUGUAGCGGUGAAAUGCGCAGAUAUCAGGAAGAACACCCCGUGGCUAAGGCGGUUCUCUAGUACGGUACUGACGCUGAGACGCGAAAGCGUGGGGAGCGAACAGG
RNAcentral lists this ribosomal RNA (254 nucleotides) under uncultured bacterium. RNAcentral describes it as "partial 16S ribosomal RNA". It matches the Rfam family "Bacterial small subunit ribosomal RNA", at positions 524 to 776 of the family's 1533-position model. The record is from RNAcentral.